GACGAACGCUGGCGGCGUGCCUAAUACAUGCAAGUUGAGCGCUGAAGGUUGGUACUUGUACCAACUGGAUGAGCAGCGAACGGGUGAGUAACGCGUGGGGAAUCUGCCUUUGAGCGGGGGACAACAUUUGGAAACGAAUGCUAAUACCGCAUAAAAACUUUAAACACAAGUUUUAAGUUUGAAAGAUGCAAUUGCAUCACUCAAAGAUGAUCCCGCGUUGUAUUAGCUAGUUGGUGAGGUAAAGGCUCACCAAGGCGAUGAUACAUAGCCGACCUGAGAGGGUGAUCGGCCACAUUGGGACUGAGACACGGCCCAAACUCCUACGGGAGGCAGCAGUAGGGAAUCUUCGGCAAUGGACGAAAGUCUGACCGAGCAACGCCGCGUGAGUGAAGAAGGUUUUCGGAUCGUAAAACUCUGUUGGUAGAGAAGAACGUUGGUGAGAGUGGAAAGCUCAUCAAGUGACGUUAACUACCCAGAAAGGGACGGCUAACUACGUG
RNAcentral lists this ribosomal RNA (497 nucleotides) under uncultured bacterium. RNAcentral describes it as "partial 16S ribosomal RNA". It matches the Rfam family "Bacterial small subunit ribosomal RNA", at positions 28 to 507 of the family's 1533-position model. The record is from RNAcentral.